AUUGAACGCUGGCGGCAGGCCUAACACAUGCAAGUCGAACGGCAGCACAGAAGAGCUUGCUCUUUGGGUGGCGAGUGGCGGACGGGUGAGUAAUGUCUGGGAAACUGCCCGAUGGAGGGGGAUAACUACUGGAAACGGUAGCUAAUACCGCAUAACGUCGCGAGACCAAAGUGGGGGACCUUCGGGCCUCACACCAUCGGAUGUGCCCAGAUGGGAUUAGCUAGUAGGUGGGGUAAUGGCUCACCUAGGCGACGAUCCCUAGCUGGUCUGAGAGGAUGACCAGCAACACUGGAACUGAGACACGGUCCAGACUCCUACGGGAGGCAGCAGUGGGGCAUAUUGCACAAUGGGCGCAAGCCUGAUGCAGCCAUGCCGCGUGUAUGAAGAAGGCCUUCGGGUUGUAAAGUACUUUCAGCGGGGAGGAAGGCGGUGAGGUUAAUAACCUCGCCGAUUGACGUUACCCGCAGAAGAAGCACCGGCUAACUCCGUGCCAGCCGCCGCGGUAA
Molecule: ribosomal RNA, 506 nt
Filed under: uncultured bacterium
Lineage: Bacteria
Description: partial 16S ribosomal RNA
Rfam family: Bacterial small subunit ribosomal RNA
Source: RNAcentral